CUACUGGGGUAUCUAAUCCUGUUUGAUCCCCACGCUUUCGUAUCUGAGCGUCAGUUCCCGUCCAGCCAGCCGCCUACGCCACUGGUGUUCCUCCGAAUAUCUGCGAAUUUCACCUCUACACUCGGAAUUCCGCUGGCCCCUCCGGGACUCUAGACCUGCAGUUUCAAAAGCCAUUCCAGGGUUGAGCCCUGGGAUUUCACUUCUGACUUGCAGGUCCGCCUGCAUACGCUUUACGCCCAGUGAUUCCGAACAACGCUCGCCCCAUUCGUAUUACCGCGGCUGCUGGCAC
This 289-nucleotide ribosomal RNA is filed under the name uncultured Alphaproteobacteria bacterium. RNAcentral's name for it is "partial 16S ribosomal RNA". The record is from RNAcentral. Lineage: Bacteria; Pseudomonadati; Pseudomonadota; Alphaproteobacteria.